GGCUUGAUAGCUCAGUUGGUAGAGCACUGCACCAGCAUCGCAGAGGUUGUGGGUUCGAAUCUCGUUCAAGCCU
RNAcentral lists this transfer RNA (73 nucleotides) under Orbicella faveolata. Its description in RNAcentral is "tRNA-Ala". It matches the Rfam family "tRNA". From Rfam's summary of the family: Transfer RNA (tRNA) molecules are approximately 80 nucleotides in length. Their secondary structure includes four short double-helical elements and three loops (D, anti-codon, and T loops). Further hydrogen bonds mediate the characteristic L-shaped molecular structure. tRNAs have two regions of fundamental functional importance: the anti-codon, which is responsible for specific mRNA codon recognition, and the 3' end, to which the tRNAs corresponding amino acid is attached (by aminoacyl-tRNA synthetases). tRNAs cope with the degeneracy of the genetic code in two manners: having more than one tRNA (with a specific anti-codon) for a particular amino acid; and 'wobble' base-pairing, i.e. permitting non-standard base-pairing at the 3rd anti-codon position. Lineage: Eukaryota; Metazoa; Cnidaria; Anthozoa; Scleractinia; Merulinidae. The record is from RNAcentral.